RNAcentral lists this long non-coding RNA (204 nucleotides) under Felis catus (domestic cat). Its description in RNAcentral is "lncRNA (ENSFCAG00000049857.1)". The record is from RNAcentral. Lineage: Eukaryota; Metazoa; Chordata; Mammalia; Carnivora; Felidae.
AGACUGUAGUCCGGGCCUCAGGAAACCUCUCAAGAUGUGGAUGCAGUCCCCACCAUGUGUCCUAAUUGUCUUGCUCUGGUGACCCUCGUUACCUCUCUGCCUCUUCACUUAGAUUCUUCAGAAGCUCCUAAAACAGAUCCGUGUUACUGCUCUGUUUCACAAAUUCAUUGCCAAGCCCUACAGAGGAAUGAACAAAAGGUAUAA